Molecule: unclassified non-coding RNA, 279 nt
Filed under: plant metagenome
Description: partial contains small subunit ribosomal RNA, internal transcribed spacer 1, and 5.8S ribosomal RNA
Source: RNAcentral
UUUCCGUAGGUGAACCUGCGGAAGGAUCAUUAUUGUAUAACCAAGGUGCAAGGGCUUUCGCUGACCCGAAUUGUCGUGCACGCCCGAGUGCCCUCACACACAACAAUCUCACCCCUAUGUGCACCACCGCGUGGGUCCCCCUUUGGCUGGUUCGGCGGGGGGCUUCCGUUUUCACACAAAAUUUUUAAGCAGUGUAGAAUGUAUUUUUUGUUUUUGCGAUGACGCAAUCAAUACAACUUUCAACAACUGAUCACUUCGCUCUCACAUCGAUGAAGAACG